GAGUUUGAUCGUGGCUCAGGACGAACGCUGGCGGCGUGCUUAACACAUGCAAGUCGAACGAUGAACCAGGAGCUUGCUCUUGGGGAUUAGUGGCGAACGGGUGAGUAACACGUGAGUAACCUGCCCUUGACUCUGGGAUAACCUCCGGAAACGGAAGCUAAUACCGGAUAUGACGCACGGAGGCAUCUCCUGUGCGUGGAAAGAAUUUCGGUCAAGGAUGGACUCGCGGCCUAUCAGGUAGUUGGUGAGGUAACGGCCCACCAAGCCUACGACGGGUAGCCGGCCUGAGAGGGUGACCGGCCACACUGGGACUGAGACACGGCCCAGACUCCUACGGGAGGCAGCAGUGGGGAAUAUUGCACAAUGGGCGCAAGCCUGAUGCAGCAACGCCGCGUGAGGGACGACGGCCUCGGUU
Molecule: ribosomal RNA, 415 nt
Filed under: uncultured bacterium
Lineage: Bacteria
Description: bacterial SSU rRNA
Rfam family: Bacterial small subunit ribosomal RNA
Source: RNAcentral